Non-coding RNA from Cricetulus griseus (Chinese hamster), 1056 nucleotides. The record is from RefSeq and is a predicted model, not a curated record. NCBI's taxonomy places the organism in Eukaryota, Metazoa, Chordata, Mammalia, Rodentia, Cricetidae.
GGGCGUCUGUUCCUCAGCCAGUGAUCAGAGAGCCGUGCAUGACGGGAGUAGGCAGCGGGGAUUAUGGGAAAUGUAGUCUGGCGACGCCGCCCUGCUCGCCAUUCCUGUAAUGGCUGCUUUCCGGUCAGGGGUGCCGCGGGUAACCUCUUAGCCUCGGGACCCGGAGCUCCAAAGAGGAACUGUUUGCACAUUGGAUAGAAUUUUACCUACGCUCUUGUUUAGUUUCUAGCAAAAGUCAGCCCUCAAGAUCCCAACAAGAUGAAUUCGGUUUCAACACAGCUGAUCUUAAUCCUCACUUCACUGCUCCUGAUUGUGCCUGGUGUUGAAGCAGUAGAAGCCGGAGAUGCCAUUGCGCUCUUGUUAGGGGUGGUUCUCAGCAUCACGGGCAUUUGUGCUUGCUUGGGGAUAUACGCAAGAAAGCGAAACGGACAGAUGUGACUCUGAAGGACUCUUCGGAGCUAGACUUCACCCUGACCACACUGAAAACCAUUGUGCUAUUGAGGCCAGACCCAAGGUUUGAUCUCUCCUGUUCCCAGCAAGAAGAGGAUGGUUUCACAUUCUUGGAAGUUUCUCCUAAGAUGGGAGUGGAUGGGUCGGGUGGGAGUGGGGGCUCUUUACAGCAGAGAGUGCAUUAAUAACAUGGCCUAUAAUUUGUAUUUGCUGCUUGGGAAGGGGGUCAAAGCGGGCUUAAAUUUGCCUAAGUAUUAUUUUGUACUUCUAAGUUGUUAAAGCAUGUGAAAUUGGAAGAAGGAAGUAUUUGCUCAGAAUCUAGUAAAUCGACAUUGUUGCUGUAUUAAUCACUGCCUCUUGAAUUCUGGGGGAAAUCUUUCUCUCCAUAUUUGUUGUUGUUGUUCUGUUUUUAUCUCCCUAGGUGAUUCUGUAUUAAAUAGCCAAAAUUUGAAACUUUUAUGUCUAAGAAAAAGUUUAACUAAAACGUACUGAACAUAUCUAAUACUAAAAUGAAGAGAUAUUUGUUAAAAAAAUAACUUUAUAUUAAUGGAGUAACAGCUCCUUUGUGAGAAGUACUAUAUCAAAUACAUGUCCAUUAUGCCAUAA